This is a non-coding RNA of Podarcis lilfordi (Lilford's wall lizard), 215 nucleotides long. The record is from the annotation of a GenBank genome assembly. Lineage: Eukaryota; Metazoa; Chordata; Lepidosauria; Squamata; Lacertidae.
GGAUCUGCCAUCCCAUUGAUCACCAGAUUUAAUUCAGAUGAUCUGAUUGGCUCCCACACUGCUUCAUGUGAGUCCUUCCCAAAGUUGCGUGCUUGGUGGAAGAGAAUGACCAUCUCAGAUAGAAGGAAUGUACUGUUCUUUGGGCUAGAAAUGUAACAAUGAAUUCAAAAUAACAAAUAAAUAAAUGAGGAUGGUUGGCCAGCCUCUUUCACUAG